AUGGCCGAGUGGUCUAAGGCGCCAGACUCAAGUUCUGGUCCUCUUACGAGGGCGUGGGUUCAAACCCCACUUCUGACAUGUUUUGUUUUUGUUUUUGGCUCCAUAAAAAUAUGA
RNAcentral lists this ribosomal RNA (114 nucleotides) under Triticum aestivum (bread wheat). RNAcentral describes it as "partial small subunit ribosomal RNA". The stretch from base 1 to 78 matches the Rfam family "tRNA". From Rfam's summary of the family: Transfer RNA (tRNA) molecules are approximately 80 nucleotides in length. Their secondary structure includes four short double-helical elements and three loops (D, anti-codon, and T loops). The record is from RNAcentral. Lineage: Eukaryota; Viridiplantae; Streptophyta; Magnoliopsida; Poales; Poaceae.